UGAUAUAUAUAGAUUCUACCACUGCAUCGAGUGUAAUACGAUAUUUAUCCACUCGAGACAGUUAAAUUUUUAAAUUUAAAUUUAACUGUCGAGAGUGGAUAAAUAUCGUAUUACACGAGAUUUGGUGGUGAAAUCUGUUUCUCA
RNAcentral lists this small RNA (144 nucleotides) under Mytilus galloprovincialis (Mediterranean mussel). The record is from RNAcentral. Lineage: Eukaryota; Metazoa; Mollusca; Bivalvia; Mytilida; Mytilidae.